ACGGCUCAGUAACACGUGGAUAACUUGCCCUGGGGUCCGGGAUAACCCCUGAGAAAUUGGGGACAAUACCGGAUAGGGCAUCGAUAGCUGGAAUGCGCGAUGUCCAAAAGCUGAGGCGCCCAAGGAUAGGUCUGCGGCCGAUUAGGUUGUUGUUGAUGUAAUGGAUCAACAAGCCUGCAAUCGGUACGGGUUGUGAGAGCAAGAGCCCGGAGAUGGGUUCUGAGAAAAGAACCCAGGUCCUACGGGACGCAUCAGGCGCGAAAACUUUACAAUGUGCGAAAGCACGAUAAGGGAACUCUGAGUGCCUCCUAUGGAGGCUGUUCAGGUGUCUAAAAAGCACUCGAAGUAAGGGCUGGGUAAGACCGGUGCCAGCCGCCGCGGUAACACCGGCAGCCCAAGUGGUAGCCACGAUUAUUGGGUCUAAAGCGUCCGUAGCCGGCCAGGUAAGUUCUUUGGGAAAUUUAACCGCUUAACGGUUAGGCUUUCAGGGAAUACUGCUUGGCUUGGGACCGGGAGAGGUCAGAGGUACUUCAAGGGUAGGGGUGAAAUCCGUUAAUCCUUGAGGGACCACCAGUAGCGAAGGCGUCUGACCAGACCGGGUCCGACGGUGAGGGACGAAGGCUAGGGUCGCGAACCGGAUUAGAUACCCGGGUAGUCCUAGCUGUAAACGAUGCGGGCCAGGUGUUGGCAUUACUGCGAGUGAUGUCAGUGCCGAAGGGAAGCCGUUAAGCCCGCCAUCUGGGGAGUACGGUCGCAAGGCUGAAACUUAAAGGAAUUGGCGGGGGAGCCACCACAACGGGUGGAGCCUGCGGUUCAAUUGGAUUCAACGCCGGA
Molecule: ribosomal RNA, 834 nt
Filed under: uncultured archaeon
Lineage: Archaea
Description: bacterial SSU rRNA
Rfam family: Archaeal small subunit ribosomal RNA
Source: RNAcentral